AGGCCCUGCUUGCAGGGUACUCGAGUGGCGAACGGGUGAGUAACACGUGGGUGAUCUGCCCUGCACUUCGGGAUAAGCUUGGGAAACUGGGUCUAAUACCGGAUAGGAGCCAUCUUUAGUGUGGUGGUUGGAAAGUUUUUUCGGUGUAGGAUGAGCUCGCGGCCUAUCAGCUUGUUGGUGGGGUAAUGGCCUACCAAGGCGGCGACGGGUAGCCGGCCUGAGAGGGUGUACGGCCACAUUGGGACUGAGAUACGGCCCAGACUCCUACGGGAGGCAGCAGUGGGGAAUAUUGCACAAUGGGCGCAAGCCUGAUGCAGCGACGCCGCGUGGGGGAUGAAGGCCUUCGGGUUGUAAACUCCUUUCGCUAGGGACGAAGCUUUGUUGUGACGGUACCUAGAUAAGAAGCACCGGCUAACUACGUGCCAGCAGCCGCGGUAAUACGUAGGGUGCGAGCGUUGUCCGGAAUUACUGGGCGUAAAGGGCUCGUAGGUGGUUUGUCGCGUCGUCUGUGAAAUUCUGGGGCUUAACUCCGGGCGUGCAGGCGAUACGGGCAUAACUUGAGUGCUGUAGGGGUAACCGGAAUUCCUGGUGUAGCGGUGAAAUGCGCAGAUAUCAGGAGGAACACCGAUGGCGAA
RNAcentral lists this ribosomal RNA (635 nucleotides) under uncultured Actinomycetales bacterium. RNAcentral's name for it is "bacterial SSU rRNA". It matches the Rfam family "Bacterial small subunit ribosomal RNA", at positions 71 to 719 of the family's 1533-position model. Lineage: Bacteria; Bacillati; Actinomycetota; Actinomycetes; Actinomycetales. The record is from RNAcentral.